This 2896-nucleotide small RNA is filed under the name Pan troglodytes (chimpanzee). Its description in RNAcentral is "processed transcript". The record is from RNAcentral. Lineage: Eukaryota; Metazoa; Chordata; Mammalia; Primates; Hominidae.
UUUGAUAUUCAUCACCACCCUAAGAGGACACACAGCUGAUGGCAACCUCUUUCCCCUUUAAAACAUCAGGAUCUGGUCCGCAGUCAGCCUCUCUCCAGUUUGUCUUCCCAGGAUAUUUGCUCUUACAUUCAGUAUUCUGUAUAACAAUCUAUGGCCAGUUUGCAGGCUUAUUUUAUUGCUUGCUUUUAGGAUUAUGUGUGUGAUGUGCCUUAGUGAGGGGACUUUUCUUUUCCUUUGUGUGAAUUUUUGUUUUCCUGUUCUUUGUCAUCUCUGAAGCACUCUCCUUCCACAUGGACCACAGGAGGAAAAGAGCCGCAAAUGCACCCCUGAGGCAGUCCUCAGCAGCCCUCAGUUGUGGGGGCAAUCGGCACCACUGUUCCCAUCCUGACGCAGUAUAGAACCACAGGCAUCGUAGUCAGCAUUUUUUUGAGAUAACUGAUGACCAAUUCGACUUCCAUACAUACUGCAUGAGAAAGAUGACCCUUCGUGCCUAUGUUGACCUUUUGAGAUUAGAAGAUAUACUCAGAAGACAUGCCUUUUAUUUCAAGGCUGCUAGAUCAGCGAUUGAAAUAUACUUGAAAUUGUAUGAUAAUCCCUUAACCAGUGAAAGCAAACAACAAGAAAUAAACUCAGAAAACUUGUCAGCCAAAGAAUUGAAGAAAAUGCUUAGCAAGCAGAGAAGAGCUCAGAAAAAGGCUAAACUAGAAGAAGAAAGAAAGCAUGCAGAAAGAGAACGUCAACAGAAAAAUCAAAAGAAAAAAAGAGAUGAAGAAGAAGAAGAAGCCAGUGGCCUUAAGGAAGAACUUAUACCUGAAAAAUUAGAAAGGGUAGAAAAUCCAUUAGAGGAAGCCGUUAAGUUCCUUAUACCUCUUAAGAACCUUGUUGCUGAUAACAUUGACACUCAUCUGUUAGCAUUUGAAAUAUAUUUUAGAAAAGGAAAGUUUCUGUUAAUGCUGCAGUCUGUCAAACGAGCUUUUGCUAUUAACAGUAAUAACCCAUGGUUACAUGAAUGUUUAAUUAGAUUUUCUAAAUCUGUGUCUAAUCAUAGUAAUCUUCCAGACAUUGUGAGCAAAGUUCUAUCUCAAGAAAUGCAGAAAAUAUUUGUCAAAAAGGAUUUGGAGAGUUUUAAUGAGGAUUUUCUGAAACGUAACGCUACCUCUCUUCAGCAUCUACUUUCAGGUGCUAAAAUGAUGUAUUUUCUGGACAAGUCAAGGCAGGAGAAAGCAAUUGCUAUAGCCACUAGACUAGAUGAAACUAUAAAAGAUAAAGAUGUAAAGACAUUAAUAAAGGUUUCUGAAGCACUGCUUGAUGGCAGCUUUGGGAACUGUAGUUCCCAAUAUGAAGAAUAUAGGAUGGCCUGUCAUAACCUGCUUCCUUUUACAUCUGCCUUCUUGCCUGCUGUGAAUGAAGUCGACAAUCCUAUUGUGGCACUGAACCAUACAGCUAAUUAUGAUGUCUUGGCAAAUGAAAUUUGAAAUCUUCUAGAAAGUAGACUCCUAUAGACUCAAAGCUGAAUUGAGAUCAGGGUUUCUUUUCCAGGGUGCAUUUUAAUAUACGUAUGAAAUGAAAUAUUUGGUUAGGAUUUUUAAAUGGCAUAUUCUGUAAGCUUAUUUUGUUCUUUACCCGACCUGCCAAUUUACAUAACCAUCUGUUAAAAUUACCUGUUUAUUCUUAAACAGUUUUGUGGUAGCUCCGAUCGCUUAUGAUAAUUUCUUACUAAGCUAAGUUGUAUACAACCCCACUGUAUUAUUUUCUUUAGAUUCUGAUUUCAGGAUCUGUGCUUUGAUUCCUUGUCUGUUUUAUCGUAUAUUUGCUUGCUUUUUAAUUAAAGCACAUCAGUUUUAAAGUGUUAACUAUAUGUUAAAAACAAUAUGGAGGCUGGGCGUGGUGGCUCACACCUGUAAUCCCAGCACUUUGGGAGGCCCAGACUGGCGGAUCACCUGAGGUCAGGAGAUCGAGAUCAGCCUGGCCAACGUGGUGAAACCCCUUCUCUACUGAAAAUACAAAAAUUAGCCAGACGUGAUGGCACGCACCUGUAAUCCCAGCUGCCCAGGAGCUGAGGCCGGAGAAUCGCUUGAACCUGGGAGGUGGAGGUUGCAGUGAGCCGAGAUCAUGCCACUGCACUCCAGCCUGGGCAACAGAGCAAGACUCUAUCUCGAAAAAAAGGAAUUCCUCUUGGCAGAUAUUGAAGUUUAUUUGAAAAUUUAAUUCGUCCUUUUUUCAUUGUAAUAUUUCAUGGUUUAUUAUUUCCUUUGUUGUAUUCAUGAAAAUGGUAUUUUCUGGUUGAAUAAGGGUACUCUAGUUUUAUGUAGAUGAAUUCAGAAUGUGAAGGCUGGUUUGCCUGUCAGUCAUGGAAAUUCACCGGUAAAAUUGUUGCAUAUUUCUCUCUCCCAGUCUUAAAAGCCCACAGGCAAGAAUUAAUGCUUUCUUAACUAAGUUACUUCGAGUGUUAACAAGUAGCUUAUACUGAGGUGUGCUUCAAGGGAGCAUUAUAGGGCAGAAAACAAAUUAAAAUGAAACGUUAUUAUAGCCAUGCAUUGACCAUUAAAUGCAUUUUUAUAUCUCGGCAAAAUGAAAUUUGAAACUCAUUAGUUUAACUCUUAAAACAUAGUGUUGUUAAACAGUAUUUUUGGGGGCGGGUGGAUAGCUUUUUGUUUUAUCUUGUACAGAAAACAGUAAUGGAAUCACUCAUGUUCAGAACCUUGUAAAUAUGUCUGUAAUAUUAAUGCUUCCCUUUAUUAAGACAAAUAUACAUUCAAAAAGGGAGAUUUUAUUUAGACACACAUUUUCUUUUCACCCUAAUCUAUUUAGAUUCAUACUUAUUGAGACGGGAAAAACUCACUGUAAAAUAAUGCCAACCUAGAUAAUGCUAUAAUAAAUUAUUUUGUACACAGUU